UGUGGUUUGCAGUUGCUUCGAGGAGGCAU
Molecule: non-coding RNA, 29 nt
Filed under: Homo sapiens (human)
Lineage: Eukaryota; Metazoa; Chordata; Mammalia; Primates; Hominidae
Source: RNAcentral